This 578-nucleotide ribosomal RNA is filed under the name uncultured bacterium. RNAcentral describes it as "bacterial SSU rRNA". It matches the Rfam family "Bacterial small subunit ribosomal RNA", at positions 112 to 704 of the family's 1533-position model. The record is from RNAcentral.
AACACGUGAGUAACCUGCCCUUGACUCUGGGAUAAGCCCGGGAAACUGGGUCUAAUACCGGAUAGGAGCGCCUGUCGCAUGACGGGUGCUGGAAAGAUCUUUCGGUCAUGGAUGGGCUCGCGGCCUAUCAGCUUGUUGGUGAGGUAACGGCUCACCAAGGCGACGACGGGUAGCCGGCCUGAGAGGGUGACCGGCCACACUGGGACUGAGACACGGCCCAGACUCCUACGGGAGGCAGCAGUGGGGAAUAUUGCACAAUGGGCGAAAGCCUGAUGCAGCGACGCCGCGUGAGGGAUGACGGCCUUCGGGUUGUAAACCUCUUUCAGCAGGGAAGAAGCGAAAGUGACGGUACCUGCAGAAGAAGCACCGGCUAACUACGUGCCAGCAGCCGCGGUAAUACGUAGGGUGCGAGCGUUAUCCGGAAUUAUUGGGCGUAAAGAGCUCGUAGGCGGUUUGUCACGUCUGUCGUGAAAGUCCGGGGCUUAACCCCGGAUCUGCGGUGGGUACGGGCAGACUAGAGUGCAGUAGGGGAGACUGGAAUUCCUGGUGUAGCGGUGGAAUGCGCAGAUAUCAGGAGG